GGGGACGUAGCUCAGUUGGCAGAGCACUUGCUUUGCAAGCAAGAUGUCGUGGGUUCGAUUCCCAUCGUCUCCACCA
RNAcentral lists this transfer RNA (76 nucleotides) under Ilumatobacter sp. Its description in RNAcentral is "tRNA-Ala". It matches the Rfam family "tRNA". From Rfam's summary of the family: Transfer RNA (tRNA) molecules are approximately 80 nucleotides in length. Lineage: Bacteria; Bacillati; Actinomycetota; Acidimicrobiia; Acidimicrobiales; Ilumatobacteraceae. The record is from RNAcentral.